UACGGGGGGGGCAAGCGUUGUUCGGAAUUACUGGGCGUAAAGGGCUCGUAGGUGGCCAACUAAGUCAUACGUGAAAUCCCUCAGCUUAACUGGGGAACUGCGUCUGAUACUGGAUGGCUAGAGAUUGGGAGAGGGAUGCGGAAUUCCAGGUGUAGCGGUGAAAUGCGUAGAUAUCUGGAGGAACACCGGUGGCGAAGGCGGCAUCCUGGACCAACACUGACGCUGAGGAGCGAAAGCCAGGGGAGCAAACGGG
Molecule: ribosomal RNA, 253 nt
Filed under: uncultured bacterium
Lineage: Bacteria
Description: partial 16S ribosomal RNA
Rfam family: Bacterial small subunit ribosomal RNA
Source: RNAcentral